UCAUCUAUGCAUGUGCAUGUAUACUUACAUAUGCAUAUGUGUAUGAUGUGACUAUCUAUGUGUGUAUACACAUAGACAUGUGUGUAUACCAAUAUAUCUCCCUCUCUCUCCUAUAGAACAUAGAUAGAUCUCACAGACAGCAUUGCAUAGUGAAUAGAGAGCUUGCCUCAGUGCCCAGAUGACUUGGGGUCAAUUCCUGAAUCUGAUUCUUGCUAAAGCUGUGUUACUUUGGUGCCCCAAUCAACUUUUUACAGAAUAGUUGCCAAUUUGCACACAGUAAGUCUGUGUGUGUAUGUAUGUGUGUAUAUGUAUAUAUCUAUAUCUAUAUAUAGAUAUAUAUACCUAUUUAUAUAAAGAUAUCUACAUAUAGAGUUGUAGAUAUUUCUAAAUAUAAAAAGCCAAAAUAUUUAAUGAACUUAAAAUUAUAUUUGAUAAGUAUGUAUAGGUAUCUUUCUGUAACUAUAAUGUCCCAAAACAAAAAUGUUAUGUGUCCUGUCUUAUUUGACUUGCUUCUAUUAGUUUCAUGGGAUUUGACUUUGACACAUGGCAGACUCUGAAAAAUGUUUCUUGACCUGCUGAUCUUAGUUAAAUUAUUUCUCACUUACUAUGACUACAUUAAUUGUAGUCAGAAGAAGUAUAAUUCAAAAUCAAGAAACUAAAAUCAAACUUUCAAGAAAAGGAGGAAUCAGGUAUUUGAGUUAGUUUGCCAGGCUCAUUUUUGGACAACAGAAUCUCUGAUAAGCAAAAGCAAUGAACAGUGCGAAAUAAAGAAUCUAAGAACCAAGUGUCCAAAGGACAAGGAGAAUGCUGUGAUCUUGGUUUGGAGAGGUUAACUCAAAAAACAAGUCAAUGACAGAAGAGAAUGCCUUGGAUCCUUACCUACCUACAUAUACCUGUCAGGGGAUCUGAUCUUCUUUGUGAUUACUGAUUGAAAGUUCACCCUAUGUAUUUAGUCACCUUAAUUCCCUUGAAAAUCUUGACAUUUGGUUUUGUAGGAACACUUUGAAACAUUCAUUUCAUGGAAUAUCAUGUUAUUUUAUAGUUAAAUGCAAAAAGUUUGAAUAAAUAUCUUCAUGAGCACUGUAUAUAUUUUAUAAAAUGUGCAUAGUGUAUUUUUUAAGUUUCAUAUGCAGAAAUAAUUGCAUUUGAAAAUUAGCAGUUGGGAUGUGCCUAAAUUCAGAGAAAAUCUUAAAUGAGAUGUAAAUAUACCUUUGAAAAAUUACUAAGUUAAAAAUAAUUGAAUUAAACAAUUUAAAGAUUUUUUUUAAUGACAAGGAUGUUGUUUUUAUUAAUACUGG
RNAcentral lists this long non-coding RNA (1298 nucleotides) under Sarcophilus harrisii (Tasmanian devil). Its description in RNAcentral is "lncRNA (ENSSHAG00000029455.1)". The record is from RNAcentral. Lineage: Eukaryota; Metazoa; Chordata; Mammalia; Dasyuromorphia; Dasyuridae.